AGUGAACGCUGGCGGUAGGCCUAACACAUGCAAGUCGAACGGCAGCACAGUAAGAGCUUGCUCUUACGGGUGGCGAGUGGCGGACGGGUGAGGAAUACAUCGGAAUCUACUUUUUCGUGGGGGAUAACGUAGGGAAACGUACGCUAAUACCGCAUACGACGUACGGGUGAAAGCAGGGGAUCUUCGGACCUUGCGCGAUUGAAUGAGCCGAUGUCGGAUUAGCUAGUUGGCGGGGUAAAGGCCCACCAAGGCGACGAUCCGUAGCUGAUCUGAGAGGAUGAUCAGCCACACUGGAACUGAGACACGGUCCAGACUCCUACGGGAGGCAGCAGUGGGGAAUAUUGGACAAUGGGCGCAAGCCUGAUCCAGCCAUACCGCGUGGGUGAAGAAGGCCUUCGGGUUGUAAAGCCCUUUUGUUGGGAAAGAAAAGCAGCAGGUUAAUACCCCGCUGUUCUGACGGUACCCAAAGAAUAAGCACCGGCUAACUUCGUG
RNAcentral lists this ribosomal RNA (492 nucleotides) under uncultured bacterium. RNAcentral's name for it is "partial 16S ribosomal RNA". It matches the Rfam family "Bacterial small subunit ribosomal RNA", at positions 29 to 507 of the family's 1533-position model. The record is from RNAcentral.